GGAAGUUGAAUUGAACCGUUAAAAGCCUAGGCCGAGCAAUAACCCAUUAACAGAAUAAACACCGACUUUGAAUAAAAAUAAUCCUUUACCUAACGCGCUUUUCUAUAAAUAGGAUCCCUUCGCAACGAAGGCAAAGGUAAGAGGCGGCUAGAGAUAGAUUGGCUCAAUCAACGCGUUUGAUUCAACAAGGGUUUCUAGCGAUUUCAAAUCUCAAUUUUUUAUUUUGUGUUUCGUUUUAAUCUCUCUCUCUCUCACAUCCCUUUUGGGCGAGUUGAUGUUCCUAGGAGAACUGAUGUUGGGAAUUUGAAUUGGGCAGAUAAGAAUGGUUACGAUUACCCAUCUACCAGGCGUAAUGAUGGGUUCAAUUUGGGUCCUAGGCGAUGUAGGUUAGAGGAUGUUAUGAGAGUCAAGAGUGAUUUAGCCCCGAUGUUGGAUGACGGGGUUCAGCAGCCCGCACAGAAAAAGAGGAAGUUUUCCCCGAUUGUAUUGAACGUUGAAGAGAAGGAAGUGAGAAUUUCGUCUAGGAAUGGAGCCCUAGAUGCAGUUAGGGCCCCGCUGUUUUCGAAUCUAGUGGAGAAUUCGCCACUCAAGUCUACGGUGUCUGAUUUUAGUUUUGUUUUAUCUACGCUUGUUGGCCAGCAAUGUGAGGGUGUUGAACAAGAACAAGAUAUGACGGGAAAAGAGAAACGUCUAGGGCCUAACAUAUUCACAUCUCGUUGGGCCUCUGAUAGUGAUGAUGAAGAUGAUUCUCGAAGCAAGGAAAAGAUUAGGAGGAGUUCGAGUCUAGAGAGUGGAGAGUUUGAAAGAGACGAUUUGGAAGGAGAUGGGGUGCUGUCCAGCGAAAGAAGUAGCAGUAUAUUGUCUGCUUGGAAGGAUGAAGAUAUGGAAUGCAAGUUGGAAUCGGAUGGUGUGAUGGACAUUGAUGGAACAUUUGAUGAAGAUGCUUCUGAUGAUCAGUCAGAUUCAGAUGUUGAAGAGUUAGGAGGAGGUAUGAACAUGCUUUUGGGUUGCAGAAGUGUGUAUGAAUAUGAAAGAUUGAACAAAAUAAGUGAAGGUACAUAUGGUGUUGUUUUUAGAGCUAGGGAUAAGAAGACGGGUGAAAUCGUGGCCUUGAAGAAGGUAAAGAUUCUAGACAGAAGAGAAUUAGAAGAAUUCGGUUUCCCUUUGACAUCACUUAGGGAAAUUAACAUUCUUGCUUCAUUUAACCACCCUUCAAUUGUGAAAGUUAAAGAAGUUGUUGUAGAUGACCAUGACAAUGUUUACAUGGUUAUGGAGUAUAUGGAACAUGACUUGAAGACUCUAAUGGAGUCCAUGAAAUGGCCCUUUAGUACAAGUGAUGUUAAAUGUUUGAUGCUACAACUAUUGGAGGGUGUUAAAUAUCUUCAUGAUAAUUGGGUGCUCCAUAGGGAUUUGAAAACAUCCAAUCUUCUCUUGAGCAACCAAGGGGAGCUGAAAAUAUGUGAUUUUGGUAUGGCGCGCCAGUAUGGAAGCCCUCAAAAGCCAUAUACAACUAAAGUGGUUACACAGUGGUAUAGAGCACCUGAACUUUUAGUUGGAGCAAAGACGUAUUCAACAGCAGUUGACAUGUGGUCUGUAGGCUGUAUAAUGGCGGAGAUGUUAGCUAAGCAACCCUUAUUCAAAGGGACAAGUGAAAUUGAUCAGCUUCGCAAGAUCUUUGAUACUCUUGGUACUCCAAAUGAGAACAUUUGGGCCGGCUUUUCUGAAUUACCUGGGUCUAAGGCAAAUUAUUCUAAGCAACGGUAUAAUUUGUUGCGUAAAAAGUUUCCUGUGGCAUCUUUCACAGGAUCUGCUGUUCUUUCUGAUACUGGAUUUGAUUUAUUAAACAGGCUUCUUACAUACGAUCCUGAUAAAAGAAUAACAGCUGAUGAUGCUCUUAAACAUGAUUGGUUCCAGACAUAUACAAGGAACCAUGAUCUGAAUGUGAUGCAGCUGCGGUGGGGAAAAAAAUCCCUUUUAUACUGUUGUGGGGCUAGCGGAUUGGCUCAUAGAGCCACUAUGCUAUUUUUCGUUCUGCUUGUAUCUUGGUUCAAUGAUUAACAAGAGGCACAUAGAUGACUUGCUUGCAGAGAUUAAUUUUUCGAGGUGAUUAGUUACAGCCUUCCUCAAUUCACUUAUUAGGAUGAUUUUGUGAUGAAUUGUAAUGGUCCUUAGCACCGAUUGAAUAUGAAGGUGAAGGUUAUUGACUUUACCUUUUCUUAGUAUAUUGUAUCAGAUACUUGUGUAUAUAUCUUUAGCCAUGUUUAAAAUUUCCUUAUUGUCAUACUUAUAUUAUUGCUCACAUUGUUUCCUUCAAUUUUUCACAUUGCUUGCAAGAGUCUACUGAUGCUUGGAAGCGAACAGCAUUGGUCUUUCCUGCUCAUAAGCAGUAAGUUGAGUGCUUUGGAAAUGAAUUAAAUCAUUUAUGAGAUGCUGGUUUUGUUUUCUUGUCUGUUGCAAUUGUUGCAGCAUUGCGGGAAGGUUUGCAGCUUACACAUAUUUAUGUUAUCCUUUAUUGUGCAAGUAAGAUGCUUUAUGCAUUGCUGGUCUUGCCUUAUUAUCUUUUGAUCGAACUGUUAGUAUAAUUAUGACCAAAAGAAUUGAUGUUAUGGAGUAAUUGGCUGGAUAUGAUGCACAGAUGUUUCUGAUUUAACAUAUGCAGAUGUUACUGAUGGAGAAAUAUAAGAUAAAAGGAACUCUUAUAAGCGUAUCAUCUCUUACUCUUUCUUUUCUUUUUCUUUUUCCUUUUCCUUUAUUCCUUUGUCCUCAUGAAUGGAUCUUACAGCUUUAACCAUCUUGAACUGCAUAAAAUGGAACGAUUAUAUAAUGCAAGUGGAAGUGAGUGAAUCGAACCAAUUUGAACUCUGCAGACGGUUAAAGUGUAUCAUGUCUUACCUUGUUCUUUUCCUUUAUCCUUUUUCUCCUCAUGAAUGAAUUCUUACAGCUUUAACCAUCAUGAACUGUAAAAGUGAAAUAUACGGUACAAGCGGAUGUGAUUGAACCAAACCAAGUUGACAUUGAAGAUGGAUAAAGCGUAUCAUCUCUUACUUUGUCUUUUCAUUUAUCCUUUUCUCCUCAUGAAUGAAUUCUUACAGCUUUUACAAUCUUGAACUGUAAUAAUGAAACAAUUGUAUGAUACAAGCGGAUGUGAUUGAACCAAACCAAGUCGACGCUGAAGGCUCAUCAAAUUGAGAGAACUGAUGAGUGGUGCCCGGCCUAAUGCUAUAGACCAAAUUUUCAUAACUACGAAGCUUGUUGUCGGGAUGAUGAUGAUGAUGACGUUGAACAAAUGAUAUGGCAUAUGGGGUGGGUGGUGAUUCUACUGCGAAAUGGGUGAAAACUAUGCACUGAGUUUCUCCGUGCAGAAUUGUCUCUUUGAUUCCUGAAAAAUUUUCUUUCUCAAGGAAAAAGCAUACAUUAAAUGGAGCCUGAAUAUUCAAAAUACAUAUACUUUUGAAUUUUGAAUUGAUUUAAAUAUAUAUAAUUAAAAUUGUGAUCUUUGCUUCAAUGUGUAGAAUUCUUUGUGAAUUGAAGUAUUGAUUUUUAUUAUGUAAA
RNA transcript from Gossypium arboreum, 3552 nucleotides. It is a transcript of the gene named cyclin-dependent kinase G-2, with no coding region annotated. The transcript has 9 exons. Lineage: Eukaryota; Viridiplantae; Streptophyta; Magnoliopsida; Malvales; Malvaceae. The record is from RefSeq and is a predicted model, not a curated record.